This is a long non-coding RNA of Anopheles funestus (African malaria mosquito), 527 nucleotides long. RefSeq lists it as uncharacterized. Lineage: Eukaryota; Metazoa; Arthropoda; Insecta; Diptera; Culicidae. The record is from RefSeq and is a predicted model, not a curated record. The transcript has 2 exons.
GUAAGCCUUAUGAAAUUUUCGAGUUGAACAUUUUUUUAAAAUUUUUUUCUGAUUUUUUAUUCUUUUUUUAAUUUAAAGCACUAUUUAAGUGAAAAGAAACUUAUUGCAACAAAUUCCCAUCAAAAUAUAUCACAUUUAAAAUUUUUGCUACAUUGCUCAAAAAUGAGGAAAAUUUUACAUUUUCUCAAACAGGGUAAGGAACUUGGUUCCUCGAAUAACUUCUGGCACAGACAUCUGAGGGCAUGGCUGUCCAAGAAGAAAAUGUAGCCAUUGGUGCCAUCUAUCGACCACAGGUUAAAGAUUGGCGAUUCGUUGGAUACCGACCGAGUUAUAGGCAAAAUUUGGUGCAAAAAUGAGGAAAAUUUUCAUUUUUUUUUUUUGAAUUUUUUGAUUUUUUUAUUAUUUUUCACUCUUUUUUUUAUUUCAAGCAUUAUUAGAGUGAAAAGAAACUCAUUGCAACCCAUUGGCAUUAAAAUAAAACAAUUUAAUUUUUUUUGCAAAAUUUCCCAAAAAAAUCGUAAGGGGUA